UGACAGGUGGUGCAUGGUUGUCGUCAGCUCGUGUCGUGAGAUGUUGGGUUAAGUCCCGCAACGAGCGCAACCCUUAUCUUCAGUAGCCAGCAAUUCGGUUGGGCACUCUGGAGAGACUGCCAGGGAUAACCUGGAGGAAGGUGGGGAUGACGUCAAAUCAUCAUGCCCCUUAUGAUUUGGGCUACACACGUGCUACAAUGGCGUAAACAAAGGGAAGCAGCCCUGCGAAGGUGAGCAAAUCCCAAAAAUAACGUCUCAGUUCGGAUUGUAGUCUGCAACUCGACUACGUGAAGCUGGAAUCGCUAGUAAUCGCGAAUCAGAAUGUCGCGGUGAAUACGUUCCCGGGUCUUGUACACACCGCCCGUCACACCAUGGGAGUCGGAAAUGCCCGAAGUCAGUGACCCAACCGCAAGGAGGGAGCUGCCGAAGGUGGAGCCGGUAACUGGGGUGAAGUCGUAACAAGGUAGCCGUAUCGGAAGGUGCGGCUGGAUCACCUC
RNAcentral lists this ribosomal RNA (497 nucleotides) under uncultured bacterium. RNAcentral's name for it is "bacterial SSU rRNA". It matches the Rfam family "Bacterial small subunit ribosomal RNA", at positions 1032 to 1529 of the family's 1533-position model. The record is from RNAcentral.